This is a long non-coding RNA of Octodon degus (degu), 1397 nucleotides long. RefSeq lists it as uncharacterized. Lineage: Eukaryota; Metazoa; Chordata; Mammalia; Rodentia; Octodontidae. The transcript has 4 exons. The record is from RefSeq and is a predicted model, not a curated record.
CCGGUCCGAGGACGGGAGGCGGGAGGGAGGGACAGAGAGGCACCACAGCUCCGGAGGUGCCCUUCAAGACGGCUGACCUAAGAUAUUUUGCCCAUGAUCCCCUUGAGACCUCUGAAUCUGUCAGUUCAUCUCAAAGUCAGGUUGCUGCCCUUCUUGCCACCAGCAGGGACAGAGCAUCUCUGAGAGCUUUGGCAUGAUGGAAGAAGCAAGAAGCAGAGGAGCCUCAGCAGCAAGGCCUAAACACUCAUCUGGAUGACCUGAGGUGUCAGUUCCUGGACAAGAAGACGUCUGACCUGAAAAUGGAGGUGAAGGAGAGCCAGGCAGAUGCAGGGAGACAUUACGUGUAGGCUUGAGCAGAAGCGUGUGAUUCGGGGUCUGAGGACUGGUACAGCUAAGUGUCCACAUCGUUCAUGGAGCCUGCAGUCACGCCAAGGAGUAAUCAUAGGACUCAACGCAGGAAGGCGCUUAAGUGCUAUGGAAUUCCACACCCUCCCUGACAGCUAUAUGAGCCGGGUGGCUGGGGCGGACCGAGAGAAAGCCCCACCGGGCUGGAGCUGUGUCCACCAAAGUUCUUCCGGCCGGUGGAAGGAGAGCUCCAUUUCCUGCCCCACACCUGAUCACCUGGGACACAGAGGUUUCUGGGACUAGCAGAGCCACCAGCACCUGCCAGGUGGCCAAGCUGAGGACAGUAGGCAGGAUUCCAGCUGCAGACUGCAUCAGGUGAAGCUCCCGCACCGACUCAGGAAUUGUGGGCCCUCGCCUCCCCCCCCAGAGGCGGGCUAUCUGUUUGCUUUAUAAGACAUUCGGCAGCCUUGGUGCUAUGAUGCCAAGAAAAAUCUUCAGCCCUAUUUCCACUCGUGCACUAAUUAUUAUAAUUUCACAGGUGUCAUGGGGCAUGGCUGGCCAGGGACGUGUGGGGCCACUUGGCCAAUCAUGUGAAGUCACAUCACCCAGCCACACUGAUAUCUCGCCUUCACCGUGCCUCUUGGAGUUGCUGUUUUCCUGCCUCUUGAAAGUGCUGCAUGACUUAAUCUGCUUCAGUGUUACUAGACAAGGCUGCUUCUUCUCCUUCCUUUGCUUUCUAUGGUGGGGUAGCCCAUGAAAUGCUUCCCAGAGAGCCGUGGGCUCUCAGUGUACUGGACGCACUCUAUGUAGGGUCAUCUCGGGGGAUUUUAGAAACACUGCUCAGGAAAGAGGUAAACAUGGCCUGCCAAGAGUGCUGGGUCUGGUGGCAGAUGAUACCACGCAACUGGAUGGAUGCAGCACCCAGGGUAGAGGGGACAGUGCACCCACAGGGACCGUUACAUGCACACCUCCAGCAGUGCCUGUCUCAGUUACUCUUCUCUUGUUGCUAGGACAAAAUACCCAGCACCAAAAAUGCAGGAAGAAAAGGUUUA